GGGCCCGCACAAGCGGUGGAGCAUGUGGUUUAAUUCGAUGAUACGCGAGGAACCUUACCAGGGCUUAAAUGUAAGUUGCAUUAGUUAGAGAUAACUAUUUCUUCGGACCACUUACAAGGUGCUGCAUGGUUGUCGUCAGCUCGUGCCGUGAGGUGUCAGGUUAAGUCCUAUAACGAGCGCAACCCCUAUCGUUAGUUGCCAGCGGGUAAUGCCGGGAACUCUAGCGAAACUGCCGGUGCAAACCGUGAGGAAGGUGGGGAUGACGUCAAAUCAUCACGGCCCUUACGUCCUGGGCUACACACGUGCUACAAUGGUCGGUACAGAGAGCAGCCACUACGCGAGUAGGAGCGAAUCCUCAAAGCCGAUCACAGUUCGGAUCGGAGUCUGCAACUCGACUCCGUGAAGCUGGAAUC
This 413-nucleotide ribosomal RNA is filed under the name uncultured bacterium. RNAcentral's name for it is "bacterial SSU rRNA". It matches the Rfam family "Bacterial small subunit ribosomal RNA", at positions 917 to 1333 of the family's 1533-position model. The record is from RNAcentral.